AACACAUCUCUUCCCCCUCCUCUUCACAGAUAUAUUUGAGCACCAUAAGGGCAUCAGAAACCCUCAGAGAUGCCGCCAAACCCAGAAUCAAGAUCGUAUAUACAUGUGCAUUUGGCCUCGACCACUUCCAUCUCUCAACCAAAGAUCCAUUCAUGACCUGAAUCGAGACUUGCGCGCAUGGCGUAGAAAAUGGACAACGCAAGCUCGAAAUUGUUCCGCUGAAGCGUGGCGGAGAUGAUGGUGGAAGAAUCGUCAGCGGAAACGAUGCCGCCUCCAUUUCUUGAAGAGCUCUGUGCGAUCAUGAGCAAGGCAUCAUCGGCGUCUUUGGCAAAGGCGGCGACUCAGAGGAGGAGCUGGUGGUGAUCGAGCUGGCCAGCAUCCUGAGAAAUCUCAUUGUGGCUUUCACUGAGGGAAGCUCUGGAGAGGUUGUUGGAAGUGGAUCUCAUUGUGAAUAAAUUAAUUAUUGUUUUUCUGUCUUUUUUUUAUUGUUGCUGUUGGUAGUGUUAGUGGAUUGUGAGAAGGAGUUUAUGGGUUGAAGGUAGAGGUAUAAGUCACUGGGUGCAUGUGAUGGUAGGUGAGUGAGGUUUAGUGGUUCACUGGUGAAUGAAUGAAGUUGAACGGUAGUGAAUGAUGAAGAUGAUGAAAAAAUGAAGAUGAAAUGGAGGUGAAGGACAAUAAUAGUGGAAAUUGGGAACUGAUGAUGGUGGUGGAGAUGGG
This 717-nucleotide long non-coding RNA is filed under the name Arachis ipaensis. Its description in RNAcentral is "long non-coding RNA (AIPA_LNC000042)". Lineage: Eukaryota; Viridiplantae; Streptophyta; Magnoliopsida; Fabales; Fabaceae. The record is from RNAcentral.